AACCCAUGAUGCGGACACUCGCACAAUAAAUCCUUAAAUCUCUCCCAUUCUUCACCGACUGUUUCACUGGUAUAUUGCUUUAAAUCCAGAAAUCUUCCUUCUUCAU
This 106-nucleotide small nucleolar RNA is filed under the name Dichanthelium oligosanthes. RNAcentral describes it as "Plant small nucleolar RNA R71". It matches the Rfam family "Plant small nucleolar RNA R71". Rfam says of the family: R71 is a member of the C/D box family of snoRNAs containing the C (UGAUGA) and D (CUGA) box motifs. Multiple nearly identical copies of this snoRNA have been identified in Arabidopsis, and it is thought to function as a 2'-O-ribose methylation guide for 18S ribosomal RNA. Lineage: Eukaryota; Viridiplantae; Streptophyta; Magnoliopsida; Poales; Poaceae. The record is from Rfam by way of RNAcentral.